This is a long non-coding RNA of Anas platyrhynchos (mallard), 861 nucleotides long. RefSeq lists it as uncharacterized. The record is from RefSeq and is a predicted model, not a curated record. Lineage: Eukaryota; Metazoa; Chordata; Aves; Anseriformes; Anatidae.
CAGAGCUGUGAUGGCUGUGGUGAUGAGCCUGAGGAAUGCUGCUGGCAUUGAGAGCUCUCUGCUGUGUCACACAUUCCUGUGUUUUGCAGUCACAUUAGGAUCUGAAGGAAUUAGCCCCAGGAAAGCUCAGAGUUUAUUUCAGACUGGGGAGAGCUACUAAGAACACAGCUGAGUACAAGUACAAAGAAGUCACAAGAAGAGAAGAAUUGUUAUUUUCCACAUGUGAUUUCGCACACCUUCCAGAUCUGGCACCACCACCCCAGUGAUCUUGCACACCUCUUCAUCAGUCUUCUCAGUUCAAUGGGUAGCUGGUAGAAUCAUCCUCAGACUCAGAAAAGAUUAACCCAUCCAUACAAAGGAUAAAUCUAAAUUGCCUGAAGUUUUCUAUUAUCAAGUCAUCACGGUUGCUUUUUGUGUCCUGAGAAAUGAGGGGAUCAUCCACCUUGUCUUGCUCAGAGGGUGUCAGUGACCUGUGUUCAAAAGCCUGAGAAAUCUCUGCCCUAUGAUGUGCCAUUGGGGUAGUACCACUGCAUGAGGACAAGCAGACUGCCAACAUUACCUUUAAACUGGAUGAGAAAGCCCUUUUGGAUUCACUGAAAGUACACACAACUUCCUAUCGCAGGCUGAAUAAUCAGCUCAAAGUCAGAUUGUUAUUUCAGGUAACAAACAGUAGGAGGAAAAGAUACAUAGCCUACAUUGCUGAUACAGUCCAAAAUAGUAUACAUAUUAGAGUGCAUGCGGGUGUUCAUGGUUGUUUUGGGAACAUGCAUGACAGACAUCGGAUAUUAUGGGUCAUUAAGAAGAAAUUAAUUAGAAAUUAAUGACCAAUAAAAUAUUGUCAAGCAAGUCUGGUUAAUCACA